GAUGAACGCCGGCGGUGUGCCUAAUACAUGCAAGUCGAACGCGUUGGCCCAACCGAUUGAACGUGCUUGCACGGACUUGACGUUGGUUUACCAGCGAGUGGCGGACGGGUGAGUAACACGUAGGUAACCUGCCCCAAAGCGGGGGAUAACAUUUGGAAACAGAUGCUAAUACCGCAUAACAAUUUGAAUCGCAUGAUUCAAAUUUAAAAGAUGGUUUCGGCUAUCACUUUGGGAUGGACCUGCGGCGCAUUAGCUUGUUGGUAGGGUAACGGCCUACCAAGGCUGUGAUGCGUAGCCGAGUUGAGAGACUGAUCGGCCACAAUGGAACUGAGACACGGUCCAUACUCCUACGGGAGGCAGCAGUAGGGAAUCUUCCACAAUGGGCGCAAGCCUGAUGGAGCAACACCGCGUGAGUGAAGAAGGGUUUCGGCUCGUAAAGCUCUGUUGUUAGAGAAGAACGUGCGUGAGAGUAACUGUUCACGCAGUGACGGUAUCUAACCAGAAAGUCACGGCUAACUACGUGCCAGCAGCCGCGGUAAUACGUAGGUGGCAAGCGUUAUCCGGAUUUAUUGGGCGUAAAGCGAGCGCAGGCGGUUUGAUAAGUCUGAUGUGAAAGCCUUUGGCUUAACCAAAGA
This 635-nucleotide ribosomal RNA is filed under the name uncultured Lactobacillus sp. RNAcentral describes it as "bacterial SSU rRNA". It matches the Rfam family "Bacterial small subunit ribosomal RNA", at positions 28 to 619 of the family's 1533-position model. The record is from RNAcentral. Lineage: Bacteria; Bacillati; Bacillota; Bacilli; Lactobacillales; Lactobacillaceae.